GAUGAACGCUGGCGGCGUGCCUAAUACAUGCAAGUCGAGCGAACAGACGAGGAGCUUGCUCCUCUGACGUUAGCGGCGGACGGGUGAGUAACACGUGGAUAACCUACCUAUAAGACUGGGAUAACUUCGGGAAACCGGAGCUAAUACCGGAUAACAUGUUGAACCGCAUGGUUCAACAGUGAAAGACGGUCUUGCUGUCACUUAUAGAUGGAUCCGCGCCGCAUUAGCUAGUUGGUAAGGUAACGGCUUACCAAGGCAACGAUGCGUAGCCGACCUGAGAGGGUGAUCGGCCACACUGGAACUGAGACACGGUCCAGACUCCUACGGGAGGCAGCAGUAGGGAAUCUUCCGCAAUGGGCGAAAGCCUGACGGAGCAACGCCGCGUGAGUGAAGAAGGUCUUCGGAUCGUAAAACGCUGUUAUUAGGGAAGAACAAAUGUGUAAGUAACUAUGCACGUCUGGACGGUACCUAAGCAGAAAGCCACGGCUAACUACGU
RNAcentral lists this ribosomal RNA (496 nucleotides) under uncultured bacterium. RNAcentral describes it as "partial 16S ribosomal RNA". It matches the Rfam family "Bacterial small subunit ribosomal RNA", at positions 28 to 506 of the family's 1533-position model. The record is from RNAcentral.